GGAUGUGAGGGUGAUAUGACUGUGACAUCUGUCACACCACUGAUCACCAGGGUUGAUCUGGCUGGCUAGACGGGUGUCCCCUUCCUCCCUCACUGCUCC
RNAcentral lists this small RNA (99 nucleotides) under Vicugna pacos (alpaca). RNAcentral describes it as "7SK RNA (ENSVPAG00000018000.1)". It matches the Rfam family "7SK RNA", at positions 1 to 108 of the family's 331-position model. From Rfam's summary of the family: 7SK was discovered as an abundant small nuclear RNA in the mid-70s but a possible function has only recently been suggested. The record is from RNAcentral. Lineage: Eukaryota; Metazoa; Chordata; Mammalia; Artiodactyla; Camelidae.